This is a long non-coding RNA of Trifolium pratense (red clover), 712 nucleotides long. RefSeq lists it as uncharacterized. Lineage: Eukaryota; Viridiplantae; Streptophyta; Magnoliopsida; Fabales; Fabaceae. The transcript has 3 exons. The record is from RefSeq and is a predicted model, not a curated record.
UAUUUACUUUUAUUUUAUUUUAUACAUUUAAAUACUUUUAACUAAGCCAAAUGAAUAGUCAUCCUUUCAUAUAUGAUAUGAUCUUCUCCUCUUCCCCUUCAUUCCUUAAAACAUGGCCACAUUCAUCUUAGAAAAGAGAUUUAAUUCUCAAUUGUGUCUCUUGAACUCAAAAGUCAUAAAAGACUUUUCAUGUCUUCCCACUAACCCAAAUCAAUUGUAUUCCAAUAUCCCUUUGUUUUCCACAUCAAUACUAUAUAUAUACAUACAUGCUAAUGAGUCUCUCACACUAUUAUACUAUGCUCUCAAUUAUAUUUCUAUGGCAUCAAAGUCAAAAGGCAAUGAAGCUAUACACGCCUACCUAGCUUCCACAAAACAAACAUUUUAUACUCUUACAACUCCCUUUAUAAUUCAAAUGAUUAUCAAGCUUUGUUUUUAGUUUCAUUCUCCUUCAAUUCAAAUUGUUAGUUUCUCGACACAUAGUAGUCCAUUUUCAACCGUCGGAUCGUCGAAAUGAACUUUGAAGUGAGAUAUAUCCAGUGUACACUGUAGCUACGAAUUUAGGCCUAGAGUAUUGUGCUUGGAAGGAAAUCCGCCAAGGUACCAAAGGUGAAAUAUGAGGUGAUGUGUUGCUUGUACGUGCGCGGGACUAAACAAAUUUGGGUUUUAUAAAUUUGUAAUUUAAAUGAAAAAUUCUUUUAUUGUACAAAGAUUA